Molecule: ribosomal RNA, 290 nt
Filed under: Rhynchospio mzansi
Lineage: Eukaryota; Metazoa; Annelida; Polychaeta; Spionida; Spionidae
Description: partial 16S ribosomal RNA
Source: RNAcentral
AAUUAACGAGAGUCUAGCUGUUUCAUUUCUAUUUAUAAAAACUAUCCUUAAAAUGAAGAGAUUUUAAUAAAAUAAAAAGACAAAAAGACCCUAUUGAGCUUUAUCUAAAAAUAAGUUUAUAGUUAAAAUUUUAUACUACUUCUUAUUAAAGAUUUUGUUGGGGCGACAUAAGAAGAUCUCAAUCUUCUUAAGUAAACCAGGAAACCUUCCUUUUUAAUGAUCCGUUUUUACGAUUAAAGAAACCAGCUACCAUAGGGAUAACAGGCUAAUCUUCCUUGAGAGCCCAAAUU